This 274-nucleotide ribosomal RNA is filed under the name uncultured bacterium. RNAcentral's name for it is "partial 16S ribosomal RNA". It matches the Rfam family "Bacterial small subunit ribosomal RNA", at positions 523 to 796 of the family's 1533-position model. The record is from RNAcentral.
AUACGGAGGGGGCUAGCGUUGUUCGGAAUUACUGGGCGUAAAGCGCACGUAGGCGGCGCACGCAGUCAGAGGUGAAAGGCCUGGGCUCAACCCAGGAACUGCCUUUGAUACUGGUGUGCUAGAGUCCGUGAGAGGGUAGCGGAAUUCCCAGUGUAGAGGUGAAAUUCGUAGAUAUUGGGAAGAACACCGGUUGCGAAGGCGGCUACCUGGAACGGUACUGACGCUGAGGUGCGAAAGCGUGGGGAGCAAACAGUAUUAGAAACCCCGGUAGUCC